Solanum lycopersicum (tomato) is the source of this 1256-nucleotide non-coding RNA. The record is from RefSeq and is a predicted model, not a curated record. NCBI's taxonomy places the organism in Eukaryota, Viridiplantae, Streptophyta, Magnoliopsida, Solanales, Solanaceae.
UCUUCCUCCAAAAAGAAAAAAUCCCUACAACUUCUACACCUUUCCACUAGAACUAGAAUAGUCAGCUUAUUUGUUUUUCCUCUUCAUCACACAACACAAAUCAAAGCUGAAAGAACGAAAAUUAUCCGAAAGUAGAGGAGAAAGUUGGAAAAGGGGGCUAUUGUUGCUUCCUCUCAGUAAUGUCUGUAAUUCCUUCUUCAUUAUGUGAAAAAUAAACAAAAAUUUGAUAUAUCCUUUCGCAUUUAAAAAUUUUAAGAGCGAUCCAUUAAUCUUUGAUUAUUCUAUAGAACUUUCAAUCCUAAAGUGCGGAACAUCAGUAAUAGUACUACUAAUAAUAAUUGUUGCGAAAAUUUCAAUGCUAUUAUGACGACUUUCUUCUUUCUCUCACCAAAUUGAUAGUGGAGGAAAAAUUUGACAAGUAUCUUGGUUGGUUAACUUGGAGGAAAAGUGACCCUGCAAUUGGUGCUUGUAGCCAUUGAGGUGAUUCCAGUCACUCUUGCCGAGUUGUAAGUAUUACAGAUCUGAGCCUCAAUGUUUCAUUUGCUAUUAUAAAUUUCUUUGAACAUUACACUUGUUGAAUUCAUAUGUUAAUAAGCACAUGAGAAUCUUUCCAUUAAAGGAAAAAGACUUAUCCUAGAUUCAGAGCCAAAUAAUGAGGAUUGUAGAGAGUAACGGGGAAAACUUCAAAGACAUCUUCAUUCUGAAGAAGAACAUGGGAGAAUGCUUGCAAUACAAUUGUUAUGAUUUUGAACAUUUUGAGCCGUUAUACCAUUUAUACAAGACGAUAACUCUAUGAAUGACACAAGGAAAAAUCCUACAGCUAUACCGUUCAUAAAAGAGGCUAACUAUUUGAAUGACUGACACAAGGUAAAAAUGUUGCAGCUAUACUAUUGAUAUGACCUACAAAGUCUUGCAUCAAAUAUUGCAGAUAGAUAAAAUUUUCUUUUCCACAUGCACAAGCUUGAGAGGAGUUUUUUCUUUUCAGUUACUCUUUGUGCGCGUUAUAGUGAACUUUAUUUAUGCUGCUGAAAUCAUUAUUUCAUCAUAACUAAGAACGAGUUACAAAAGAAUAGUAAUUUAAUUCGGCUCUACUAAUUAUAGGAUUCACUUUUAUCCUAAAAAUAUGAUGUGGGUGAAUUACUCGCUCACACUUCCUCCUUCACAAUUUGGAGAUGAAUAUUUCCUCUAGGCAGGGUCUUUAUGUGUUUGCUUUUACUAUAAUGACUUUGACAGAAUGAUGGCAAAAUUAUAUUUAU